This 674-nucleotide ribosomal RNA is filed under the name uncultured bacterium. RNAcentral's name for it is "bacterial SSU rRNA". It matches the Rfam family "Bacterial small subunit ribosomal RNA", at positions 60 to 749 of the family's 1533-position model. The record is from RNAcentral.
AGUCGCACGGGACCUGGGGGCAACUUCAGGUUCAGUGGCGGACGGGUGCGUAACACGUGAGGAACAUGUCCAACGGCGGGGAAUAGCCGGCCUAACGGCCGGGUAAUACCGCGUACGCCCCGGGCGACGCAUGUCGCGCGGGGGAAAGCAGCAAUGCGCCGAUGGAGUGCCUCGCGGCCUAUCAGCUAGUUGGUGAGGUUACGGCUCACCAAGGCGACGACGGGUAGCUGGUCUGAGAGGAUGAUCAGCCACAUUGGGACUGAGACACGGCCCAGACUCCUACGGGAGGCAGCAGUGGGGAAUCUUGCGCAAUGGGCGAAAGCCUGACGCAGCGACGCCGCGUGUGGGAUGACGGUCUUCGGAUUGUAAACCACUGUCGGGAGGGACGAAGCUCUGACGGUACCUCCAGAGGAAGCACCGGCUAACUCUGUGCCAGCAGCCGCGGUAAUACAGAGGGUGCGAGCGUUGUCCGGAAUUACUGGGCGUAAAGGGCGCGUAGGCGGCUUGGUAAGUAGGGGGUGAAAUCUUGCGGCUCAACUGCAAGGCUGCCUCCUAGACUGCCGGGCUUGAGCACGGUAGAGGCAGAUGGAAUUCCCGGUGUAGCGGUGGAAUGCGUAGAGAUCGGGAAGAACAUCGGUGGCGAAGGCGAUCUGCUGGGCCGGUGCUGACGCUGA